UAUACAUGCAAGUCGAACGAACUCUGGUAUUGAUUGGUGCUUGCAUCAUGAUUUACAUUUGAGUGAGUGGCGAACUGGUGAGUAACACGUGGGAAACCUGCCCAGAAGCGGGGGAUAACACCUGGAAACAGAUGCUAAUACCGCAUAACAACUUGGACCGCAUGGUCCGAGCUUGAAAGAUGGCUUCGGCUAUCACUUUUGGAUGGUCCCGCGGCGUAUUAGCUAGAUGGUGGGGUAACGGCUCACCAUGGCAAUGAUACGUAGCCGACCUGAGAGGGUAAUCGGCCACAUUGGGACUGAGACACGGCCCAAACUCCUACGGGAGGCAGCAGUAGGGAAUCUUCCACAAUGGACGAAAGUCUGAUGGAGCAACGCCGCGUGAGUGAAGAAGGGUUUCGGCUCGUAAAACUCUGUUGUUAAAGAAGAACAUAUCUGAGAGUAACUGUUCAGGUAUUGACGGUAUUUAACCAGAAAGCCACGGCUAACUACGUGCCAGCAGCCGCGGUAAUACGUAGGUGGCAAGCGUUGUCCGGAUUUAUUGGGCGUAAAGCGAGCGCAGGCGGUUUUUUAAGUCUGAUGUGAAAGCCUUCGGCUCAACCGAAGAAGUGCAUCGGAAACUGGGAAACUUGAGUGCAGAAGAGGACAGUGGAACUCCAUGUGUAGCGGUGAAAUGCGUAGAUAUAUGGAAGAACACCAGUGGCGAAGGCGGCUGUCUGGUCUGUAACUGACGCUGAGGCUCGAAAGUAUGGGUAGCAAACAGGAUUAGAUACCCUGGUAGUCCAUACCGUAAACGAUGAAUGCUAAGUGUUGGAGGGUUUCCGCCCUUCAGUGCUGCAGCUAACGCAUUAAGCAUUCCGCCUGGGGAGUACGGCCGCAAGGCUGAAACUCAAAGGAAUUGACGGGGGCCCGCACAAGCGGUGGAGCAUGUGGUUUAAUUCGAAGCUACGCGAAGAACCUUACCAGGUCUUGACAUACUAUGCAAAUCUAAGAGAUUAGACGUUCCCUUCGGGGACAUGGAUACAGGUGGUGCAUGGUUGUCGUCAGCUCGUGUCGUGAGAUGUUGGGUUAAGUCCCGCAACGAGCGCAACCCUUAUUAUCAGUUGCCAGCAUUAAGUUGGGCACUCUGGUGAGACUGCCGGUGACAAACCGGAGGAAGGUGGGGAUGACGUCAAAUCAUCAUGCCCCUUAUGACCUGGGCUACACACGUGCUACAAUGGAUGGUACAACGAGUUGCGAACUCGCGAGAGUAAGCUAAUCUCUUAAAGCCAUUCUCAGUUCGGAUUGUAGGCUGCAACUCGCCUACAUGAAGUCGGAAUCGCUAGUAAUCGCGGAUCAGCAUGCCGCGGUGAAUACGUUCCCGGGCCUUGUACACACCGCCCGUCACACCAUGAGAGUUUGUAACACCCAAAGUCGGUGGGGUAACCUUUUAGGAACCAGCCGCA
Molecule: ribosomal RNA, 1442 nt
Filed under: Lactiplantibacillus plantarum
Lineage: Bacteria; Bacillati; Bacillota; Bacilli; Lactobacillales; Lactobacillaceae
Description: bacterial SSU rRNA
Rfam family: Bacterial small subunit ribosomal RNA
Source: RNAcentral